GGCAGUAUGGUGCAGUGGUUAGCAUCUUCCUUGUGGCUGAUGCCUCGAAGGAGUCUUGGUUUGACUCCAAGACUGCCA
Molecule: non-coding RNA, 78 nt
Organism: Dendrothele bispora CBS 962.96
Lineage: Eukaryota; Fungi; Basidiomycota; Agaricomycetes; Agaricales
Source: the annotation of a GenBank genome assembly